UACGGAGGAUCCAAGCGUUAUCCGGAAUCAUUGGGUUUAAAGGGUCCGUAGGUGGGCCGUUAAGUCAGAGGUGAAAUCCUGCAGCUCAACUGUAGAAUUGCCUUUGAUACUGGCGGCCUUGAAUCGUUGUGAAGUGGUUAGAAUAUGUGGUGUAGCGGUGAAAUGCAUAGAUAUCACAUAGAAUACCGAUUGCGAAGGCAGAUCACUAACAAUGGAUUGACACUGAUGGACGAAAGCGUGGGGAGCGAACAGG
RNAcentral lists this ribosomal RNA (253 nucleotides) under uncultured bacterium. Its description in RNAcentral is "partial 16S ribosomal RNA". It matches the Rfam family "Bacterial small subunit ribosomal RNA", at positions 524 to 776 of the family's 1533-position model. The record is from RNAcentral.